CCACGGAGGGUGCAAGCGUUACUCGGAAUCACUGGGCGUAAAGCGCGCGCAGGCGGCUUGAUAAGUUGGAUGUGAAAGCCUACGGCUCAACCGUAGAACUGCAUCCAAAACUGUCAGGCUAGAGUGUGGGAGAGGAAGAUGGAAUUAGUUGUGUAGGGGUAAAAUCCGUAGAGAUAACUAGGAAUACCAAAUGCGAAGGCAAUCUUCUGGAACACUACUGACGCUGAGGCGCGAAGGCGAGGGGAGCAAACAGGAUUAGAAACCCCGGUAGUCC
Molecule: ribosomal RNA, 274 nt
Filed under: uncultured bacterium
Lineage: Bacteria
Description: partial 16S ribosomal RNA
Rfam family: Bacterial small subunit ribosomal RNA
Source: RNAcentral